Molecule: ribosomal RNA, 465 nt
Filed under: uncultured bacterium
Lineage: Bacteria
Description: partial 16S ribosomal RNA
Rfam family: Bacterial small subunit ribosomal RNA
Source: RNAcentral
GACGAACGCUGGCGGCGUGCUUAACACAUGCAAGUCGAACGGAAAGGCCCCUUUGGGGGUACUCGAGUGGCGAACGGGUGAGUAACACGUGAGUAACCUGCCCUUGACUUCGGGAUAACUUCAGGAAACUGGGGCUAAUACCGGAUAGGAAUCCUUGCUGCAUGGUGGGGGCUGGAAAGCUUCGGCGGUUUUGGAUGGACUCGCGGCUUAUCAGCUUGUUGGUGGGGUAGUGGCUUACCAAGGCUUUGACGGGUAGCCGGCCUGAGAGGGCGACCGGCCACAUUGGGACUGAGAUACGGCCCAGACUCCUACGGGAGGCAGCAGUGGGGAAUAUUGCACAAUGGGCGGAAGCCUGAUGCAGCAACGCCGCGUGCGGGAUGACGGCCUUCGGGUUGUAAACCGCUUUCAGCAGGGGCGAAGCUUGUGGUGACGGUACCUGCAGAAGAAGCACCGGCUAACUACGUG